This 252-nucleotide ribosomal RNA is filed under the name uncultured Bacteroidales bacterium. RNAcentral describes it as "partial 16S ribosomal RNA". It matches the Rfam family "Bacterial small subunit ribosomal RNA", at positions 524 to 776 of the family's 1533-position model. Lineage: Bacteria; Pseudomonadati; Bacteroidota; Bacteroidia; Bacteroidales. The record is from RNAcentral.
UACGUAGGGAGCAAGCGUUGUCCGGAUUUACUGGGUGUAAAGGGUGCGUAGGCGGACUGUCAAGUCAGCGGUAAAAUUUCGGGGCUCAACCUCGUCGUGCCGUUGAAACUGACACCCUUGAGUGAGUGAGAAGUAAGCGGAAUGCGUGGUGUAGCGGUGAAAUGCAUAGAUAUCACGCAGAACGCCGAUUGCGAAGGCAGCUUACCGGCGCUCAACUGACGCUGAGGCACGAAAGCGUGGGUAUCGAACAGG